UUGAACGCUGGCGGCAGGCCUCACACAUGCAAGUCGCGCGGAUGAAGGGAGCUUGCUCCUGGAUUCAGCGGCGGACGGGUGAGUAAUGCCUAGGAAUCUGCCUGGUAGUGGGGGAUAACGUCCGGAAACGGGCGCUAAUACCGCAUACGUCCUGAGGGAGAAAGUGGGGGAUCUUCGGACCUCACGCUAUCAGAUGAGCCUAGGUCGGAUUAGCUAGUUGGUGGGGUAAAGGCCUACUAAGGCGACGAUCCGUAACUGGUCUGAGAGGAUGAUCAGUCACACUGGAACUGAGACACGGUCCAGACUCCUACGGGAGGCAGCAGUGGGGAAUAUUGGACAAUGGGCGAAAGCCUGAUCCAGCCAUGCCGCGUGUGUGAAGAAGGUCUUCGGAUUGUAAAGCACUUUAAGUUGGGAGGAAGGGCAGUAAGUUAAUACCUUGCUGUUUUGACGUUACCAACAGAAUAAGCACCGGCUAACUUCGUG
RNAcentral lists this ribosomal RNA (483 nucleotides) under uncultured bacterium. Its description in RNAcentral is "partial 16S ribosomal RNA". It matches the Rfam family "Bacterial small subunit ribosomal RNA", at positions 30 to 507 of the family's 1533-position model. The record is from RNAcentral.